Molecule: long non-coding RNA, 8712 nt
Organism: Aedes albopictus (Asian tiger mosquito)
Lineage: Eukaryota; Metazoa; Arthropoda; Insecta; Diptera; Culicidae
Exons: 3
Source: RefSeq, a predicted model, not a curated record
CAUCGCUACUCGUACGGCUCGCACCUGAUCUCCUGUCGACUAAAUAAUGUGUAAAAGUGCACAAAGUCCUAUAUUUUCGACGAAAAAUCGAGUAAUAUCGCAGCUAUUUCAGUGUUAAAAUAUUUUCAGCGGUACAGUUUACACGAGCCAUCGCGCUGGGAUUUUACGCAUAGUUCCGACUAACGAGUCUGGAAUAACAAAGAGGAGAAACGUCAAAAUUGGAACAGCCGAUUUGCUGUCAUCCCCAUAGUUCCAAUCGAGCAGGAGACCUGUCAAAACGACCAGGAUUCGCCACUUUGGUAUACUCGAGACACUUUAGUUCCGACAUGUAUUAAACGAUGGAGCAGGUCCUGUAGGAUUGCUGUAUCUGCCUGCGGAAUAGGAACAACUUCCUGUGCAUCUGCGACAAGACGAAUAUUUACUGAGCGCGUUGAUCAGAUCCUGGCCAGCUACUUUUGGUUCGAGGACGAGCAGGUCAUGCUGUACUCCAGCUGUUGGGAGAAGAUCGAUGAGUGUGCCGAAGAAAAAACGUGGUCGGAAGUGUAGGAAGCGGUCCAACUGUUGGACUCCAACAAGGAAGAGGAAGGGGACGGGGAUGAAGAGUGGAAGCCUUCGACCGAUGGGUUGAGAUUCCCGAUGCCUUUGCAGGUGAAGCUAGAUGUGGGGAAGUGUAAAAAAUACUCUAGAAUGUAAGUAUUAUAUCAUGCAUUUCUCACCCCUGUUAGCUAGUGCUUGUAUGUAUUUUGGCCAGGAUUGCUUUAUAACAAACUAGCUGUUCCGGCAAACGCCGUACUGCCUGCCUACCGUUUCGUCAUCUGUAUGGGAACCCUCCUUUCCAGAGAUGGGAGGAGUUCUGGUGUAAUGCUGUUACUUCUUACAAUGACUCGUGUUUUGAAGUGCUAAUCAAAGUUUCAGCUUUUUGCAACAUUCCGUUCCCCAUAUAUGUGUUUGGGAAGCUUCAGAACUCCAUUCCGGAUAAACGAGUCCAGCCUGUACUGUUACCAAAAGCAGUCACUCUCUUGCAAUAUGUAUGCCAAAAUAUUUCAGUAUUAUUUUUCUUCUUCGUAGCGAAUAUCCCCACUGAAAAAAAAACCCCGCUUUUCAGCUUUGUGUUCUAUCAAAGAUUUUUAAGUACUAAUAUACUAUUAGAUUCUAUGAGCACUUUCAUAGUUUGUAAAGAACUAGCAUAAGUUAAAAUUCACGAAAAUAAAAAAAAAAUAAUUAAAAAAAAAACUUCCAUAUAGGGUGACCAAGGAUAUUAUCGGCAGGAUUGUUCCCUUUGUCAUUAGAGGUUUUAGUCGGUCAACUUGCUUGAAACUUGGUCGUAUAAUUCUGCUUGCUUGGGAAGGAUUUGCGGCCAAUUGUGAGUUCAAGAGGUUUAUAAAAGCCCCCCAUGACGAACAAAAAAAAAAACGGCCCAAAAUACGUAAGUUCCCCUAGUUAUUGACUGAGAGUUUCCUCUGAUCGUUUUGCCUAUGUAUAUCGUGUGUCAGGCACGAAGAUACUCUAUGCCCAAGGAAGUCAAGGAAUUUUCAAUAAUUGUUAAUAGUUCCUGGACUGACCGGGAAUCGAAUCCGGUUACCUUCAACAUGAUCAUGCUGACACCCAUGCCCUAUUCCAGUCAUUGAAUCGAAUAAACGGUUGACAGCAUACGUGCCAACUUGUGGCCUAUGUGGGAGUGGGCAAGACAUCCCAAAAUUAAUUAAAUUCGGAAACAAUCGACGCAGUUGAUCUAAUUUAUAUACAAAUAUUUACGUGACAAUUAUUGCAUUGAGUUCAUGAAUUUUAUUCAAUUUUCAAGAGCGGCCCCCCUUCUUUCGGGUACAAUUGAUCACUAUUUAUAGUUUUUUUUUUAAUCAUUAUAUAUUUCUAGACCAACAUGUGAAAAGGGCGGAAAAGCCAAAAUGUAAACAAAUAACUUUUCAGCAUAAUUUGAUGAAACAACUCAUGAACAUAUGAUUUUUCCUGACGUUAGCUCAAAAAUGAGUUUCCACUUAUGGAAAACAAUAAUUUAAAUAAAGGCGGAUUUCCACAUCUGAUUUUGAUCACUUCAUUUGGUUGUUCCGCCAAUGAUCUUGCGCCUUUGAAAAAAGCACAAAAAUGCACAAAAUUGUUAACACUGUUGAAUAAACAGUCGUGAACAGCAUCUCGCCAUUCAAAUUUAUCAAAUUUACACAAAACUUUUACUCCUACUUGAUUAAAGUCGCCCCUAAUUACUUACACCGUUAUUGAAAAGCCUUCGUCAUUACGUCGUGCUUCGGCGCCCAUUAAAAUGUCUGAGUGGAAAUCCGCCGCGCACUUAUUGCUCUUGUUGCGCACGGAUGGUUCUUACGCCCAAGAUCAAAUCGUGCGUUUUUCACCGUAAAAUUCAAUAAAGUCGCUGACUGACUGCAAUAAGUGGCGAUAAUAUGGCUUCAAUGUCUAUUCAGGAUAUAUUUUCUCCAAAGGACCCAGGUUUGGAUGAUAUGCAGCUGGUAAAGCUUCACUGAUAAAAACACAGACAAACAGACGUAACACUCUUCAGAACGACAUGGCACAUGCAUUUAACGAUCGAUUCGAAUUUCUUUUGCUUUCCGCGAUCCUUCCACCAGAGGCGCUAGUGUUUGAUCGCUUUGACGUUUGCCAGUGUACACGUUGCUGAAUGAUGCAAAUGAAACUUACAGGCGAUUUGUGUAGUAGUGUGCGUGUUAGACAAACGUCAAAUCGAAAUCCAUCAUGGCCGACAGUGUCUCGCGCGGUUCUACCAACAGGUGGCAGUGUGCUCAUGAGGAAGACACCGAGCAAAAGUUUUUGAUGAAUUUCCUCUAAGAGUUACGUCUGUUUGUCUGUGAUAAAAAUGUUAGCGAAUGGUCUCAAAUAUAUUGACCGGCAUAGGUCACAGCAGGUAGAUUCAGCAAAAGGUGAUAUUGGGAACCAGGCCCGUGCACAGAAAAGGCGACAAGGGAGGGGUUUUACCCAAUUUUAGCAAAGGGUGAAGGAGGCCUUGUGUAGAGAGUAUCGGCAAUGGGAGGAGUUUAACCCCCAAAACCCAUUCGUUGUGCACGGGCUUGUUGGGAACAUAAUAUGCUGCCUGCGCUUCCCCAUCGGUACUGUAGCUAUAUUUUUUUCAACGCGCAUUAUGGACAAUGGCAGGGACAACUCCCUCCUUUGCUGUACGAUACUAGAUAAACUGUAAAGAGAUCGUAGAUAAGAGCUAGAAUAUAGAUUUUAAUCGAAAUCUGAUUGCCAUUGCAUUUUACUCAUUGUUUUUUUACCACUCAUCGUAGGCAACGUCAAGAGAAAAUUUCCUUCCUCCUCCAUUGUUCAGUGUCAGAUAAACUUCAAUUAGUUACUUUUAGUUAAGAAAGCUUCAAAAUCAAUUUAUUGCAGUGGAUUAGGUUCAAAAUCUAUUGCAUUCCACUAAUUUCGAUACAAAAUUUCUUCGGGCGUAACAACAAAAGCGAUCGAUUCUAGGUAAUAUUGACCAGGCGUAAUUCCAGUGCUGGCGACCAAGCGGCGUAGCAUGUCGGGCGUAAUGACCAAUGAGUUUUUAUUUGGGCGUAAUUUUCAUUUCAUUCAUUUUCUUCAAGGAAAAACGCUAGUUUGUACUUUUUGACAUAAAAUCACCAAGAGGAUAGUGUUUUCUUCUAAAACAACGAAAAAGAUUGAGUGCACACGCACAAAGUGUUAAAUAGGAAUUAGUUUUAGGUUGUGAAACUUUGCAAGCGUUUUUCUCGAUUCUAACAUUUUGGAUAUCCGCCCUUUUCACAUGUUGGUCUAGAUUUGUUUUAAAAAUUUGUUUCAGGCACUUCCGAUAACCAUGGCUAGCUUGCGGUGCUUUACUCUAUCUUACUGGAGCUACUUCACCGGCCUCAUUUAUCAAAUGCUUUGUACACUUUUGGGUAAUAUUAAUAAAAAAAUGCGGUGGGUGGGGUGUUUCAUUGGACUCCAUAAGACAUCCGAAAUAACUUCGAGAUUCGGACUAGGGCAACUUACUAUACCAACAUAUUGCAAUUAGGAAGGUUAACUAUUAAAGUAACGAAAUUAAAUUAUCAAAGCGAAGUCCCGAAUCUCUACUCGUAAUGCAGGUGAGUUCGUGCAUGUCUGCAACAUGUUGGUAGGUAGCCAAGACAGAAUUAUUCGCCUUUGAAGUUUUUGGAGUAGUCUAUGAGAUAUUCUUCCUUGUAAUCAGCACAUGAGUUUUAGAUGAUCAUAGCCAUCAAAAUAGAACAGUUCUCUUUGAAAUUAUUCCUCAUAGGCGUCUGUCGCGUGAAAGGUUCACCAAUUCCUCUGAAGUUGUUUGGUGAAGAACAACACAUCUACUUUGAAAAUAGAACACUUAUCUCUGUAGCUAUUCCUCGUAGCUAUCAGAACUUGUCGAGUUGAAGGUUCACCAAGUCCUCUAAAGCUGUUUGGUGACGCACAAUACAUCUACUUUGAAUUUAUUCCUAACAGCCACCAAAAUUUAUUGUGUAUAAUUUUCACCAAGUCCUCCGAAGUUGCUUGGUGACGCACAAUACAUCUACCUCGAAAAUGUUUUGCUCGUAGCCAUCAGAACUUGUCGUGUACAAGGUUCACCAAGUCCUCUGGAGUUGUUUGGUGACGCACAAUACAUUUGCUUUGAAAACAGAACAAUUUAUCAUCGUAGUUUAGCCAUCAGAACUUGUCGAGUUGAAGGUUCACCAAGUCCUCUAAAUUUUGUUUGGUGACGUACAAAACAUCUACUUUGAAAAUAGAACAAUUACCUUUGUAGCUAUUUCUCGUAGCUAUUAGAAUUUGUCGUAUAACAGGUUCACGUAGUCCUCUGGAGUUGUUUGGUGACUCACAAUACAUCGAAUUUGAAAACAGAACAAUUUAUAAUCGUAGUUAUUCCUCAUAGCCAUCAGAACUUGUCGAGUUGAAGGUUCACCAAGUCCUCUAAAGUUGUUUGGUGACGCACAAUACAUCUACCUCGAAAAUAGAACAAUUCUCUAUGAAGUUAGUGUUCAUUGCCAUAAGAACUUGUCGUAAGGUUCACCAAGUCCUCUGGAGUUGUUUGGUGACUCACAAUACAUCGACUUUGAAAACAGAACAAUUCAUAAUCGUAGCUAUUCCUCAUAACCAUCAGAACUUGUCGAGGAGAAGGUUCACCAAGUCCUCUGGAGUUGUUUGGUGACGCACAAUACAUUUGCUUUGAAAACAGAACAAUUUAUCAUCGUAGUUUAGCCAUCAGAACUUGUCGAGUUGAAGGUUCACCAAGUCCUCUAAAUUUUGUUUGGUGACGUACAAAACAUCUACUUUGAAAAUAGAACAAUUACCUUUGUAGCUAUUUCUCGUAGCUAUUAGAAUUUGUCGUAUAACAGGUUCACGUAGUCCUCUGGAGUUGUUUGGUGACUCACAAUACAUCGAAUUUGAAAACAGAACAAUUUAUAAUCGUAGUUAUUCCUCAUAGCCAUCAGAACUUGUCGAGUUGAAGGUUCACCAAGUCCUCUAAAGUUGUUUGGUGACGCACAAUACAUCUACCUCGAAAAUAGAACAAUUCUCUAUGAAGUUAGUGUUCAUUGCCAUAAGAACUUGUCGUAAGGUUCACCAAGUCCUCUGGAGUUGUUUGGUGACUCACUAUACAUCGACUUUGAAAACAGAACAAUUUAUCAUCGUAGUUAUUCCUCAUAACCAUCAGAACUUGUCGAGUUGAAGGUUCACCAAGUCCUCUAAAUUUUGUUUGGUGACAUACAAAACAUCUACUUUGAAAAUAGAACAAUUACCUUUGUAGCUAUUUCUCGUAGCUAUUAGAAUUUGUCGUAUAACAGGUUCACGUAGUCCUCUGGAGUUGUUUGGUGACUCACUAUACAUCGACUUUGAAAACAGAACAAUUUAUCAUCGUAGUUAUUCCUCAUAGCCAUCAGAACUUGUCGAGUUGAAGGUUCACCAAGUCCUCUAAAUUUUGUUUGGUGACAUACAAAACAUCUACUUUGAAAAUAGAACAAUUACCUUUGUAGCUAUUUCUCGUAGCUAUUAGAAUUUGUCGUAUAACAGGUUCACGUAGUCCUCUGGAGUUGUUUGGUGACUCACAAUACAUCGACUUUGAAAACAGAACAAUUUAUAAUCGUAGUUAUUCCUCAUAGCCAUCAGAACUUGUCGAGUUGAAGGUUCACCAAGUCCUCUAAAGUUGUUUGGUGACGCACAAUACAUCUACCUCGAAAAUAGAACAAUUCUCUAUGAAGUUAGUGUUCAUUGCCAUAAGAACUUGUCGUAAGGUUCACCAAGUCCUCUGGAGUUGUUUGGUGACUCACAAUACAUCGACUUUGAAAACAGAACAAUUUAUCAUCGUAGUUAUUCCUCAUAGCCAUCAGAACUUGUCGAGUUGAAGGUUCACCAAGUCCUCCGAAGUUGCUUGGUGACGCACAAUAUACAUCUACCUCGGAAAUAGAACAGUUAUCUUUAUUUGUAUUUAGUUAUUCCUUAUGUAUUUGCAUUCAGUUGUUCUUAUGCUAUUUUUUAUUAAUUUCAAUUUUAACAAACAAAAUUUUUUCCUAUCUUAGUUCAAUCGCUGCGAAAUCGGAUCAUUAUGGCAGCGAUGAACUGCGGCCGUUCCCAUAGUCCGUAAUGGUUUUCCUGCUUCUGCCACUCCUAAUAUUUGUACCACCGUUUCUCUCACUUUCUUACAUUAGGGGUCCCUCACAUGAUCGCGUCACCUCCUCCUAUUUCCUCGGGGAAGUAAGCGGUUGGCACAGGGAAAUAUGCGUACCGUAACGGUGGAGGGGCUUCCUUUUCUUUACAGGUCAUCGCUAGAACUUUUAUAAAAAAAAAUCGCAUGUUGUCUGUUGAAGGCCAAAGCGUUUCGAUGGUAUGAACCUUGUGGUGGCCGUCAAUUUGGGCAGUGAACUUAACGAUAUUGUUAUCCUCGUGCUUCUGGGUGGGUGGUGGCUUUGGCUGAUGCACCUUCACAGGUCGAAUACUCCCAGCAGCACAGCUUACUGCUGAAACCGCCUCGAAACGGAUGGGGAACGUGGUUCUGCUGUCUCCCCAGACCGAUACCCUUCCGGGCUCCACGUUAUUUUUUUCCACAAACCGUAACAACCUGGACGAUCGAUUGUUCAGUUUCGGUUAAUUUCCGUGGCCAUAAUCGACUUCAGCCUGCCUGCACGGAGAAGUGAAAAAAAUCGAUUGCGGUGAUCCGACGCUGCAUCAGUGACCCCUCCAGGCCUGCCUUUAAAUCCUCCGUUUCCAUGCAAGUCGAGUGCGGUGAAUCCGAAGUGUGCGCUUUAGACCGGACGUACCGUGUUGGAUUCGGCAUUGCAGCACUACGACAGUAUGUCACUAAUGGUACUGGACUGCCUCAGCAUCAUGGUCCUCAGUUCAACAUCUCUUAUACUUUCUGUGGACGGACAGAUUAUGUAAGGAUUCGUCAUGCUGGUUUUGCUUGGGAAUUUGCGUUCUUGCACUAUUUUUUUUGAGGCUAAAAGUAUUCGGAAUCCUAAGUUAAAUAUCAAAUCUAUAGACAAAUUGUUCGAAUUACCUGCCUGCAGAAAAUGGAGAUCAAACUACCACUGCCCCCGUACGUUGAGAAGUUGCUAUUAAGCGUCGAGGAAGAUCCAAACUUUAAACCAAAUGAAGUGAUCAAAAUCAGAUGUGGAAAUCCGCCUUUAUUUAAAUUAUUGUUUUCCAUAAGUGGAAACUCAUUUUUGAGCUAACGUCAGGAAAAAUCAUAUGUUCAUGAGUUGUUUCAUCAAAUUAUGCUGAAAAGUUAUUUGUUUACAUUUUGGCUUUUCCGCCCUUUUCACAUGUUGGUCUAGAUAUUUCCUAAGUAGAACAGUGAAAGGAGCAAAGAAAUAAAGCAAACUUUUCCUCUAUUUCCACCAACCGUGUAGUAGCUACACAUAGGUAAACUUGCGUUCUCCUCCGUAGACCAUUUCAAGUAGCUUCUGGAAUAAUGAGAAACAAUAAAUAGAACGUAGAGCCGAACUCUUUCCGAAAGUAGCCAAGGCUACUCUAAGGUAAAACUACAGGUAAAACCAAACUUUCGGACGGAAGCUAAUGUAGUUCAUAGGUGCAGAGACUGCAGAGACAAAAAACGGAUAUGACAUUAAACCAAACAUAAAAAAAAACUUUACUAUAUUUUAGAAUUAGACAACGGUUGUUCGCCGACGACAAGACCGGAAGCAAAAUUGUUCGACUAAACGAGUAAGCGCUAGGCAUAUUUUUGUACCAAAUCGAUUCGCCAACUUUUAUACAUUUGAAGACAAAUGGAUUCAAUGGAAAACAACAGGCUAAAAUCCGGGGAUCGAUGGUGGAGAAUGUGGCCGACCGUGUAUGUUGUAAGAAAUAAAGAAAAAAAAAAUCCUGUACUCAACAAAUGAUAUCGGUAACAAUACCCGUAUGAUGUUUUUUUCUCCUUUUUCUAACAUUUUUUCGGCCUAGAGGGCGGAAACCCUCAGCCGACUAGAAAUAUAAUUACCUACAAAAAAAAAACUGAAAUUUAAAUCGUUCGUGUAAAAUAUGAGAUUGCAUUCGUCGAUGUGAAUUUUGUUACAGAGUAGCGAAAUCGUUCGUCAACUUAAUCGCUGAGAUGCGCUAGGAGAAAUGGGAAAAGCAUAUAAUCGUGUAACAUUUCAGUGCAAUAUGGGUUAAGAAAAAUGAAAAUAAAAAAGUAUUUGAAUAAAAAAAAGUUAGAUAGACAUAUCAUGAUAUAUUGAAAGUACUUACUAAAACUGCAAAUUAAGCAUGACUUACAAACUUCAACCGUAUGUAAUG